AGUGAACGCUGGCGGUAGGCCUAACACAUGCAAGUCGAACGGCAGCACAGUAAGAGCUUGCUCUUACGGGUGGCGAGUGGCGGACGGGUGAGGAAUACAUCGGAAUCUACUUUUUCGUGGGGGAUAACGUAGGGAAACUUACGCUAAUACCGCAUACGACCUACGGGUGAAAGCAGGGGAUCUUCGGACCUUGCGCGAUUGAAUGAGCCGAUGUCGGAUUAGCUAGUUGGCGGGGUAAAGGCCCACCAAGGCGCCGAUCCGUAGCUGGUCUGAGAGGAUGAUCAGCCACACUGGAAGUGAGACACGGUCCAGACUCCUACGGGAGGCAGCAGUGGGGAAUAUUGGACAAAGGGGGCAAGGCUGAUCCAGCCAUACCGCGUGGGUGAAGAAGGCCUUCGGGUUGUAAAGCCCUUUUGUUGGGAAAGAAAAGCAGCAGGUUAAUACCCCGCUGUUCUGACGGUACCCAAAGAAUAAGCACCGGCUAACUUCGUG
This 492-nucleotide ribosomal RNA is filed under the name uncultured bacterium. RNAcentral describes it as "partial 16S ribosomal RNA". It matches the Rfam family "Bacterial small subunit ribosomal RNA", at positions 29 to 507 of the family's 1533-position model. The record is from RNAcentral.